Molecule: ribosomal RNA, 352 nt
Filed under: Ixodes scapularis (black-legged tick)
Lineage: Eukaryota; Metazoa; Arthropoda; Arachnida; Ixodida; Ixodidae
Description: partial 16S ribosomal RNA
Source: RNAcentral
GGUAUUGAAAUAAGAUUUUAAAUGAGUGCUAAGAGAAUGAUUAAACAAUUAAAAACUUUCUUUAAUUAAAUAAUUAAAUUUAAUUUUUUUGGUGCGAAAGCAAAAAUAUAAUUUAGGGACAAGAAGACCCUAUGAAUUUUUAUUAUUAAUAUUUUGCAAUUAAAUUAUUAAUAAUUUAAUUGGGGUGAUAAAAAAAGAAUAAGUAUCUUUUUAAUUGUAAAAUAAGUUCCGUUUUUAGCGAUUAAAUGAAAAAAAUACUCUAGGGAUAACAGCGUAAUAAUUUUGGAUAGUUCAUAUAGAUAAAAUAGUUUGCGACCUCGAUGUUGGAUUAGGAUUCUUUUUUGGUGAAGAA